RNAcentral lists this ribosomal RNA (467 nucleotides) under uncultured bacterium. RNAcentral's name for it is "partial 16S ribosomal RNA". It matches the Rfam family "Bacterial small subunit ribosomal RNA", at positions 28 to 507 of the family's 1533-position model. The record is from RNAcentral.
GACGAACGCUGGCGGCGUGCUUAACACAUGCAAGUCGAACGGAAAGGCCCUGCUUUUGUGGGUGCUCGAGUGGCGAACGGGUUAGUAACACGUGAGUAACCUGCCCUUGACUUUGGGAUAACUUUAGGAAACUGGGGCUAAUACCGGAUAGGAGCUCCUGCUGCCUGGUGGGGGUUGGAAAGUUUCGGCGGUUGGGGAUGGACUCGCGGCUUAUCAGCUUGUUGGUGGGGUAGUGGCUUACCAAGGCUUUGACGGGUAGCCGGCCUGAGAGGGUGACCGGCCACAUUGGGACUGAGAUACGGCCCAGACUCCUACGGGAGGCAGCAGUGGGGAAUAUUGCACAAUGGGCGGAAGCCUGAUGCAGCAACGCCGCGUGCGGGAUGACGGCCUUCGGGUUGUAAACCGCUUUCGCCUGUGACGAAGCGUGAGUGACGGUAAUGGGUAAAGAAGCACCGGCUAACUACGUG